Long non-coding RNA from Frankliniella occidentalis (western flower thrips), 930 nucleotides. RefSeq lists it as uncharacterized. NCBI's taxonomy places the organism in Eukaryota, Metazoa, Arthropoda, Insecta, Thysanoptera, Thripidae. The transcript is spliced from 2 exons. The record is from RefSeq and is a predicted model, not a curated record.
GCCACGCCACGCCACGCCACGCCACGCCGCGUCUGGUCAGUGGACGCAGCCCAGCGCACGUCGCGCGGCCAGACUACACUGUCAACAGCGCGGGCGGCGGCGGCGAGCGGCAGCAGCGCACAGAGAGGGAAUUACCAACCAGCGGCGGAGGAGAACCAGACGCGCGGACGAGCUGCUGCUGGGCGAGCCGCAGCCCGCGACGGAAUGCAGAGCCGAGCUUUUUAAUCAACGUGUCGAGGAAGCGGAGAGUUUUUAAAAGGUUUGUCAGGAAUUCCAAUAAAGGCGAAUUCAUAAAGCGAAUUCUUAGGGCGCGCGUCUGCUGCUGCUGCUGCUUGCUGCUGUAACGGUUUGAUUUUCCGUUUUACCAUGCCUUCAUCUGUUGCCUUGACCGGCCGCGGAUGAGUGGGUCCGGGACUCCUACAAGGUAGGCAACCCAUCUCUCUUUAGUUGGGUUUCGGUCGGAGGGAUAGCGCCACUGUGCGGUUCGCUUCACUCCCCCUCCCCUUCCGGGUUGCUCAGCUGGUUGAGCGUUUUGACGGGUCGGUCAGAGCCAGAGCUGAUCCUGCCACCGACCCGGGCGUUCAACAGCAGCUCCGCACAACAUCUUUCUCUUCCCCGGGUCUUUUUACUAUGACUCUUUGUCACGUUUGUCGUCUUGCUGAUCGUGAUGUCAAGUUUGUUGGUGUUUGAUCCACCUCUACAAUGCUUCAAGUCCUGUUCGGUCUACAGUGGAAAGUGUGAUUUCUUUAUGUGUCGUUGGUAGAUAUCGCCAUUACUCAUCCUUGUAUGUUGAUUCUGUAAUGUGUGGCCGUGGUGCCCGUCGUAUGUCGUUUUGCUGUGCUUGUAUGCUUUGCAGCCUUCGUUCUGUAGUAAUGUUUCACUUUCACUAGUAUGACGUUUGAAUAAACUCUGUGAUAUAUUUUGGGUAAA